Molecule: ribosomal RNA, 581 nt
Filed under: uncultured bacterium
Lineage: Bacteria
Description: partial 16S ribosomal RNA
Rfam family: Bacterial small subunit ribosomal RNA
Source: RNAcentral
UGGGGAAUUUUGGACAAUGGGCGCAAGCCUGAUCCAGCCAUGCCGCGUGCGGGAAGAAGGCCUUCGGGUUGUAAACCGCUUUUGUCAGGGAAGAAAUCUUCUGAGUUAAUACCUCGGGAGGAUGACGGUACCUGAAGAAUAAGCACCGGCUAACUACGUGCCAGCAGCCGCGGUAAUACGUAGGGUGCAAGCGUUAAUCGGAAUUACUGGGCGUAAAGCGUGCGCAGGCGGUUUUGUAAGACAGAGGUGAAAUCCCCGGGCUCAACCUGGAACUGCCUUUGUGACUGCAAGGCUUGAGUGCGGCAGAGGGGGAUGGAAUUCCGCGUGUAGCAGUGAAAUGCGUAGAUAUGCGGAGGAACACCGAUGGCGAAGGCAAUCCCCUGGGCCUGCACUGACGCUCAUGCACGAAAGCGUGGGGAGCAAACAGGAUUAGAUACCCUGGUAGUCCACGCCCUAAACGAUGUCAACUGGUUGUUGGGAAGGUUCCUUCUCAGUAACGUAGCUAACGCGUGAAGUUGNCCGCCUGGGGAGUACGGCCGCAAGGUUGAAACUCAAAUGAAUUGACGGGGUCAUAGCUGUUU